Solanum stenotomum is the source of this 812-nucleotide long non-coding RNA. RefSeq lists it as uncharacterized. The record is from RefSeq and is a predicted model, not a curated record. Lineage: Eukaryota; Viridiplantae; Streptophyta; Magnoliopsida; Solanales; Solanaceae. The transcript has 3 exons.
AAAUGCUCAUAGCCCUUCAUUUAAAUGAUCCUUGAUUUAACUUCUUACAUGUAGCACCUCCUUCAGCAAAAGUUAAGGUGUGGAUUACUUAUAAUCAAACUUUCUUCCCUCAUUUUCUGCAGUUUCCUUUUCUGUUAGAAGGCACCUAAUAGGGGAAUUUGAGGGGGUGGGGAUGAAGAAGGCUUUAGUAUUCCAGAUGCCAUGUUUUAGCUUCAGUUGAGUAAUUUGACUCACUGGAGGAAUGCAAUAACGUGAUAACGUAAUUUGAAUUCGUGGACCUUCGGAAUUAGAAUGUAAAAGGAUGGACUUAAAGCUGACAGAGUGGGAGAUUCAGACCUGUCAAAUUGCUUAUUCUCUGCUUAAUCAAUCCAAUUGAAGUUCAGAAAUGUUUUUCCAGGAGCUAUUGUCAGAUUAUCAUUAUUUUAGCUAUAUUUUGGGACUAGGUGAAAUACUUGAAGGAACUUUUAUAUCUCAAAGUAGUUUUAUCAACUUCCGAUAUCUUUUGCAACCCUAGUAUUUUGCUAAAUAUUAUUGCUUUUAAAUUGUGGGUUGACAAGUAAAAUCUGGUUAUUCAGCUGUUCCCAGAACUUUGAAACACAUAAAAGAAAUGAUCCCAGGUUAUUAUUUUGCAUAAUCUUAUCAAAGUUAUAUGCAUAGUGUUUUGUGAAGGUAACCAACUUUUACAAACUAUCACCCAGAAAACAUUCAUUAGAUUCGGUUGGAGAAGCAUAUAUCUAUACUAAUAUAGUUUCCAUAUUUAUUUUAUAACUAAGAAUCUGCCGCUGCUUAGUUUCCUUUUACUUUGAGGUUGA